AGGUAGGGAAGAAAGGCCAAGAGAGUUCACACAACCAGGGUCACAUCCAAGCAAUAUUUGAAAUCAUUGCUGAUUUGUAGUGGGGUCAAUUUGAGGACUCUUUCGAAUAAGUUAAAAUAUAGAUUCUAGAAAUACAUAUUUUUUUGAAAAGAUCAAAUUUUGUAAGGUCAGAGUGUAUUAUUACAUUAUUGAUUAGUUAUUAAAUUCUAAGCAUGUGUUCUUCAGUGUGGAGAAUAAAGGAAGGCAAAGUUAUUUCCCAAAGGACAUUAUUUAUCUAUUUUGAUUGUAAAGUAGUGAAGCAGAAACAAUAUUAAAACGUCAGAAACCAGUGGCCAGUCUAAGAUAGAAAACACUCAUUUCCGCCUGCCUGUUCAUUUGAGAGAUAAAGUGCAAGCUUUAUCGCACUUUAGAAAGUCAACAAUACUCCACAUUUCCUAAAUAAGAAAGUCAAAUAUUUCCAGAUAUUGCGUUUCCUCUAUGACGACUAUUCAGUCCGCUUUAGGGAUUCUAAACUACUAGAAAGAUGGAGUCAGAAAUAGCAGGUUCUGCACAACGUCAUCUGUAGGAAACUACCGUUGGAACACAAAGAAAUGAUAAUAUGUGAGCUUGUCUUGUAUUUUGAUCUCUAAAUUCAGUAAAUGCGGGAAACAAUAGCACGCAAUAGUACACUUAUUUUAAUAUGUACUUAUUUCCAUUAGAGCGGGACUUCUCUGCCUUCUCUUCAAGGAAAACCUGCAAUACAUUUUUGAGGGAAAGAAUCACGGAAGGACAACCUUUGAAAGUUCAUAUUCAUCCUGGAGUAUUUUCAACGUUAAUCUGUUGUAGGAAACAUCACAUUCUUCAGGUAUUGUGGAUUUAGCAACUGAUAUUCAGUGCUGAUAAACAAACAUUUGUUGAAUGAAACAUUUUCUCUGUCUUCCACAUUUUCUCUUUUUCCUUUCUUAAUUUUUUUUGUGGACAAAGUAGUGAGAAAGUAGGGGUGGAGGGAAGCUGGGCUUUGCUCCCAGGUUCUCAGGGCCAGGUGUCCAUCUCCUGGGCUCCCCUCCAGUGCACACCAGUUUGGUGGCUGUUGGGAACUUUCACCCAGGGAGCAGAAGGUAGGCCAGGAGAGCAUCUUGAUGAAGAUGGGAAAACUCUCACCACAGCCUGCUCACCCCUGCCUGCUCUAGGGAAAGACAGGUGCAGUCUACAGGAGACUGAGCAUGUGCCUGUGGGGGGACCUCAGCGCAUGGUAGAGAGUAUUUCUCCAUGAGCUCACAUUACUGAGUGUUGAUCAUUUGUUCAUUCAUUCACUCAUUCAUUUAUCUGCCCAUUCGGAAAACAUCCACCAUUGUCCAUUAAAUGCCAGGCCCCCUGAUAAGCACUAACGGUAAAUGCAAAGAAGAAUGAGACAAUGUCCCGAUACCAUGUUGUCCAUAAACUAUCAAGGAGCCCAUCCACAGUGCACCUGCUGUCAGAUGAAGUUAGAAGGACAGGCUGGUGUUUGGAGGAAGCCACAUGCCUGGGAUCCGAGAAAAUAGAAGGGCAACAGUCCAGGAGCACCUGCUAUGCGCCACCUGCUCCCAGGAGCUGUAGUCAUGUGAACCAAUUGAACCAAAACAGCCCCACCUGGUUAGUGUUAUCACUACCUCCUUGCCAUAGAGACAGAAGAGGCACUUAGCGAGGGGGCAGGGAGCUAACACUUUCAUAAGUGCUGGUACUGACAUGUAUGCCAAAGGGAAUAUUGGUACUUACGAAGGUACAAAUCCAAGUACUCAUGUAAAUUAUGUCAGUGAGGGCUCCUCUUGUCGCCGACGCAGCAUGAUGGGAGGCGCACAGCCGGGAACGCAGUGUGGAGGAGCAGAAGGGGGAAUGAAUAACUUAUGACUCGCGGCCCUGCCAAAGCGAAAGGAGGGCAAGUUUUCUGCCAGGGAACAAAGACUGAGAUCAUAAUGGGAAUGAAAGUCCUGGCUAAUGAGAAGAUGCUCUGUUACAUUAAAAACAAAAUCUAUUGAUUAAUUUGAAUAACUACAUCAGCAUCUAUAAGCUUGGGAAUUCUCAACUUUGUCAUGCCAAUAAAAAUAUUUAUCAAACAGUAAA
Non-coding RNA from Equus caballus (horse), 2079 nucleotides. The record is from RefSeq and is a predicted model, not a curated record. Lineage: Eukaryota; Metazoa; Chordata; Mammalia; Perissodactyla; Equidae.